Long non-coding RNA from Ostrea edulis (European flat oyster), 6448 nucleotides. RefSeq lists it as uncharacterized. The transcript is spliced from 2 exons. NCBI's taxonomy places the organism in Eukaryota, Metazoa, Mollusca, Bivalvia, Ostreida, Ostreidae. The record is from RefSeq and is a predicted model, not a curated record.
GUUUUCGGGAUAGGGCUACAAUUCCAUAGGAUCUCCGUAAUGGUGCAAAAUAAUUUUAUGAAUAACCGAUAAUAAACUCUGUGUAUUAGUCCCAAAUGUUGUUUAUACCAAAAGGAGUACCAACUUUGUGCUCGGGCAUGUCUAAUAAAGGUGUUUUUCAUUAAAUAUAAUGUACAGCAUGCAAAAUUCUUCGUCUGCUCCGCCAUGCUUGUUAUCGCGAGAUCUCGUAGGUGGAUCUAAUGAAAAGCCUAAACAUUGACAAUCAGCGCGAAAAUGUAGUUAUUCGAGCCACUUCGACAAAGGAAGGAAAAUCAUAUUGUUGCAGAAAGAAUUUACACUCUGCUGUUCGGUUUUUAACUUGAUAUUAAAUUCAAACCUUCUCAAUACCGACGAAAUAGCUUUCGCCUCCAUACUUGUCCAUUGAUGUAAAUACCACCUUAUAUGGCAUAUGCAAAUGACUUGACAACCGGAAGUUGAAACUUCAGUACAUCAAACAUGGCGCACAAAUAUGAAUCGAGAAACUGGGAUUUAUCGAAAUUGUUGAAAACGGUAGAAUAGAGCCUCACAAAUCUAAAGUUGUAGGUUGUAAAUUUAUAUAUUGACUAAGAAACAUAGAAUAUCAUUUUAUUUACGUAAAGAAAGUCAGGAAAUGUUUAGAAUGAGCGCAAAUGUUGCGGGAGUGAAUCACUCCCGCAUUUGCACCAUUACGGAGAUCCUAAGGAGUUGUAGCCCUCUCCCUAAAAAAAAAAAAAAAAAAAAAAAAAAAAUCAGAGAGGGCUACAUUAUUGCAGCUAAGGGGAGACUAGACUCAUCCAUCCCUGCAGACCUACAUAUGGAGCAUAUGGUCCAAAAGACCAAAUCUAUGCUUAAAAGCCUGGGCUCCAACAAAACACCCGAAAUCAUCAUGAAAAGGUCAAAAGCAUUAGCUGGAAUGGAUGCCAUCUCUCAUCAAUAUGACACGGACACAAGUGUCAUUUUACGUUCUCAUCGACACAAAUUGAAAAGUGCCAAAGAUGAUGAAUUGAAAAUGAUGCAAGAUAUUUGUGAAGUUCAUCCAUUUAAACAUACACCUGGAAGAUCUUUUGAAUUUUUCAAAGGACUAACUAGUCCUCUUCUCUUUUCUGUUGAUGCUGAAAAAUACAAGGCUUGGGUGCAACAUCAUCAGAGCAUCCUGGACUAUGACUCUGGGAAGUAGGCUACUUAGUUGUGUUGAGUGGUACUGUACAACACGGCUGUUUUCUGGACAAGGAGUACCCAGAUACAUGUCAUCUUUCAAUAUGCGUUUUGCAAGGUCAUAACUGUAGGCACACCAUUUUAACUUGGAAUAUAUUAUUGUAAGAGGGAAAGAAUCUGCAUUCAUUAGAAGAUCAAGAAAAACCGGUUUGUAAAUGUAGUCAUAUGCAAACUCUACUUUGUUAUUGCCCCCAGUUGAUGGAGGGCGUUCUCGAAUAAUUAUCUUUAUGUUGCCAUUAAGAAUAGGUAAUGAUCUAAGAAAUACAGGCUUUCUCAUAGUAAGCUGUGAAGCAAUUGUUUUUUGAAGUUUUACAGAAGCAGUGGCUGUUAAUGCUAGGACAGAGAUGAGGUUUGAGUCUAUGGAUCUUGCGUUGCAAAUAUUUUUAAACAUGGGUCUAAAUUCCUCCCCCCACUGUGGAACCAGGUGGGCUUCGUCCACUACAAUAUAUGUUCGUCUGUGAAGUGUUGACAUCUUUUCUAGAAUACUUGGCUUAGUGAUAUCCUCUGGAUGUCCAACAACAUACAAAAUAGACUUCAACUUGGUUAAAUUGUCACUCUCGUCAUCAUUUACUAGAUCUGAUGCUCUUAUUGAUUUAGAACCCAGUUUUGCAAUUUCCUGCUCUAUGAUGACAUUCAAUGGACAUACUAAUACAACCAAACACUGUCUAUCAUAUAAUGAAAAGUCAACAAAAGGAAGAAUUUCAAAUAUUAAAGACUUUCCAUAGCCAGUGGGCAAUAUUGAUAUACAGUCAUUUUUUAGAGCACUUUUGAUUGUUAUAACUUGCUUUGGUUUCAGAAAGUUUAUUUCUGAACCACAAUGUAAAUUCAACAGCUGCAGUCCUCUUUUGAAUUUAAUAUUCUCCUCAAUGUUGCAAAUACCAGCCUAAAGAUAGAGAUGAAAAUGAAUUUUAACGACACCUUUGGCAGGGAUAGGAAAGUUGAAUGUAAAUCGGAUAAAGAUGAAUUUAACCAAGAUUCAAAAGUAAAGAAUGAUAAAAAAAAAAUCAAACUUGAAAGAUGUAGAGAACAAUAAAGAAAUAAAUCAUAUUUAUGAGAUAAAAAAUUUUUAAAAUAUUUCUGACUCAUACAAUAAACAGAAUGUACACUAAAUAAUUAUUUGUACCCAAAUGAUAGAGGCAACUAAACAGACUAAUACAUGUAAGUAUAGGUUGGCAAAAGACAAAAAUUAUGGAAGCAGCAAGUCUCUACGAAGAAGACAUUUUAGAUACAUUUGUACAUGCAUUAUAAUAUUAGACAUGCUGGAUAGUACAGGUAUUAGAUCAUGGUGACCUACCAAAUUAGCACUACUUUUGACUUACUAAACAUCAGUAGUGGUGGGAUUUGAACCCACAAGUCUCCAUGAAAUAGAAAUAUUAGAUACAUGCAUUAGAGUAGAUAUGCUGGAUAGUACAGGUAUUAGAUCAAUCAUCAUGGUAGAAGAAUUGUAAAAUGGACAACAUGCAAAUGAAUGAAUGUAUUAACUGUACAUAUCAAAAGAUAGCUUGGGUAAAAAGAUGACCAUGCAUGCAAGGAUAGUACAGGUAUUAGAUCAUGGUGACCUACCAAAUUAGCACCACUUUUGACUUACUUUAAACAUCAGUAGUGGUGGGAUUUGAACCCACAAGUCUCCAUGAAAUAGAAAUAUUAGAUACAUGCAUUAUAGUUGACAUACUGGGUAGGGUGUUGGUAACAUGCAAUUAUGAGAUUAACAGGGGGUUGGAAAUAAUUUUAACCUCCCCCAUGCAGGCUAUACACACCAACAUUGAGCAUGCAAACAAUACAGAAAUGGAUGCAAUAUUGGGAGGGUUCGGGGAUAAACAAUGCAAAACUAAACCCUUUAACUGUAUUUGGUUGAGAUGACACUGCCUAGAAUAAGAUAUAGUUUAAGUAUAAACACUUUCCUCACGUAAAGUAUGUGCAACAGUGGGUCAAACCACGUGGAAUCGCGAUCGAAAACUUUGGUCGUUCUGUUACAUUAAAUGGGGAGCGACAUAUGCAAAAUUGCAUACCAAUACACAGAUCAGUCAUAUAUACACGGGAUGCGAUAAUAAAAUUUCGAUGUCGGUACAAGACAAUGUAAAUAUUGGAAGUCAAUUUUGACUACCUCCACGUGUUCAAAAUGUAAACAAUUUUCAGUCUGGUGAUUUCGAAGCUAUUUUCGUCUAAAUAAGUAAAAAGAAACGGGAAAUAAAAAGAAAAGAACUUAAGUCAACAAAACGAAAUAGUGAAAUAAGUUGUUCUAAAGUAAAAUGAGAGGGUUUAUGUAUUCUUUCUAGAGAUGAAAACUUACUUUGUCCGCCAUUUUAGAAUUGCGCAAUGUCAUACACCAAAUCAACCGGUGCCUGACCUCAAUGUAGAGAGUGCGCGAACGGAAUUGUGGGAAGGGGGACCAGACUAGUUAAUCUCUACCCAAAGUUAUCGUUCCUUAACUAAUGUAAGGAACGAUAACUCUGAGUAGCGAUAAAAGCAAAAAAAAAUUGAAAAUAAGAUACUCGUUGGAAAACUGAUUUAAAUCCUCAACAUGCUUUUCUUUGAUUAAAGUAAAUCAAUAACGUUAGUAUUUCAUUUGAAGGCAAAUCUAUCCUCAUGUGGCGUCAUGGAUUUUUUAAACUUUUUUUUUCAUUUUACCAAAAUCUGUAAUUUAUCAAAAAGGUUUGCACCCCCAGUUUGUAAAAGUGAUUUUUAUUUCUACAUUGAAAGAGAAUUAGAACUGAUGUCAUAAUGUUUGUAACUAAGCUAUGUACAGUGUUUUAAACAUGACUUUUUUGCACGUAAAAUUUACUCAAGAUUUAUUCCUUCAAAAUUGAUUUGUCUGUCGGUGUCAACACAACAUAAGCAACAGAAAUCAAUCAUUCCAUAAAAUAGAUACAUAAUCAUGUCUAUUAACAAUACAGAUUAAAAAAAAUAGUAUGAGUAAUGGAAAUAAAUAAUGACCUUUUUGCACUUGAUAUACAGACCAUUCCUCAGUUUAAAGUAAUUCCACCCUCCUGUGAUGUCAUCAGAUUGUGCAAAAUCAAUGAUUUAUUUAGAUUUAUGCCUGAUUGGAACAAUAAUUUUGUUGGAGUCUUUUCCGAUAUUUAUUGUAAAAAAUCCUGUUAAAAAUAAACUAUUUCAAAAGCCUAAGUUAUAGAUGAAUAACCAUUGAUAUGUUUUAAAAUAUUGAAUCCAAGGGCAAUAACUCUGUUUUAAGUCUAUUAUGCGAUAUAUUUCCUUUAUUUUUACAAACAUUUUGUAUAUUUUUGUGAAGAAACAGUUACAUGAAAUUGUUCUGAAUGCUAUUAUAUUGUCAUAACCAGUUUUUAUGAAAGAAUGAUAACGCUGUUUAGGGAAAAUUGCUAUUUUCUGACGGUGAUAGAUGAUUCUUUUUAUGUAUGUCUCGCAUCUACUAUGAGGACCUAUUAUUAUUUUAUUUGAUAAUACGUUAGUUUUAACUAUAAUAAAUGGAAAUAAAUACACUUUUUUAAACUUGUAUAAGAUAAAACUGUGAGUAUGGAGUUACCUUAAAAGGACAUUAUUAUUUAGAAGUAAUUUCAUAUAAUUUUCAAAUUCUUGUCUUAAAAUUCAAAAUGCAAAUAAAACAUUGUGGGUUAUAAAUCAAAUUUUUCAAUUAUUGGCCAAAAUACUGAAUUUUUAUACAAAAUUUUGAGUAAAUUAAUUCAGACUUUUUUUCUUUUUUUUAAAGAAUCGGUGUUCUGCUUGGGAAAAUAUAUCAACCAGAUUAAUAAAUUAAACAUUUGAACUAGUUCCAAAUCUCAACUACUUGUAUCCUAAAUUAUAAAACUCAAAUACACGAGAAUAUAAGACAAUUUGGAUGAAACAAAUACUGCAAAAUCAUACAGAUUUAGAACUUUUUUUAUCAAUCCUUCUGUUUACAAAAUAUAGACCCUGCCAAACCCUUUCAAAAUUUGAAUAGACACACGCACAAAAUCAACUGGAUAGGGUUCAGUAAUAGAUGUGCAAUGUAUGUUUGCACCAAUGGGAUCAAUAUUGGACCACUAAAUAUUUAGUUGUAGCAUCCUACGCAGUUGUGCCCAGAAGCUCAGGAACUAACUUCCUUAAACAUUGUGUAAGGUAGAAAUAUAUCUUGUGUAGCAAUUUUAUUCACUGGAUCCAAUUAAUUUUUUUAGUAAACUGUUUGAUAUGUGGUAUACACACUCGUCAAGUUUUCGACUGCAGUAUUAAUAUUUAAUGUCAGAGGAUUAUCCAUUUUAUAUAACCUAUCAAUUGUUGAUGUGCGACGUUGUUAGACCGUUCUUUACACAUUGAUUUUGACUACGGAUUACUCCGUUUACUUGAUCUAUAUAUAAGGCUCAUGGCGGGUGUGACCGGUCAAAAGGGGCUGCUUGUAAACUCGCCUAGGCACCUGAACCCACCUUUGAUGUGCCCUGGGCACCUGAUACCACCUCUGGUGUGUCCGGGGCAUCUAAUCCCAUCUCUGAUGUGUCCGGGGCACCAGAUCCCACCUCUGAUGUAUCAGGGGUUCGAGUAUGCCCAAUAAAUCAAAUCUAAUUAAUGUAAAUCUAAUUAAAAUUAGAUCCUUUGAUCCGCUCAUCUACUAUCACUAUGUGUAGCGAUAGUAGAUGAGCGGAUCAAAGGGUCUAAUUUUAAUUAGAUUGAAUUACUGUGCACAUUUUAUUGAGUAUAAAAGCGGGAAAUGAAUGUCUUUCUAAUAUAAGAAGGAAAAAUCUAGUUUCAUAUAGAUAUCAAAUAAUUUAUACCGAGUUCUAAAUGAAAUUAUGCGAGCAAUAAUUCUUUUUUUUUCAGAGUGCUCAGUCGAUAAAAUUGUGUGCAUUACAAGUGAAAAUAAAUUAGGGCUAUCGUAUGAUAACUAGUGGAUUACUCCCUCCAAAGCAGCCAGCAGCCACUCCAUGCGAUCGAUCCCUGAAUGCUAUUUGUAUUCAAAAUACUUUCACGGUCAUCCAGAUCGAUAUUUUACUCUGCCGCACGCAUUCUUGUAAUUAAAAUAUAUAGUUUCACCUAUCGGUUACAUUUAUAUGUAUAAAUAUUAUGCAAAGUUAGAAUGUUUCGCAGGCUUGUAAGAUCUGCUUCAGGACAAACGAAGGUACGAUGUUUCCUACAUUAAUUGAUACAAAAAACUUUAUUGAAAAUAAAAAAAAUCUGUAUACCCCCCCCCCCCCGCCAGAUAAAAAUAAUAAUCCGGGAUGUAUAUAACUUUAUCUAUCCAGAGAGAAAGAGAACGGGGGGGGGGGGGGGG